UCUCUCCUGGAAACGGGUGGUAAUGCCGGAUGCUCCAGUUGAUCGCAUGGUCUUCUGGGAAAGCUUUCGCGGUAUGGGAUGGGGUCGCGUCCUAUCAGCUUGACGGCGGGGUAACGGCCCACCGUGGCUUCGACGGGUAGCCGGCCUGAGAGGGCGACCGGCCACAUUGGGACUGAGAUACGGCCCAGACUCCUACGGGAGGCAGCAGUGGGGAAUAUUGCACAAUGGGCGCAAGCCUGAUGCAGCGACGCCGCGUGAGGGAUGGAGGCCUUCGGGUUGUAAACCUCUUUUAUCGGGGAGCAAGCGAGAGUGAGUUUACCCGUUGAAUAAGCACCGGCUAACUACGUGCCAGCAGCCGCGGUAAUACGUAGGGUGCAAGCGUUAUCCGGAAUUAUUGGGCGUAAAGGGCUCGUAGGCGGUUCGUCGCGUCCGGUGUGAAAGUCCAUCGCUUAACGGUGGAUCCGCGCCGGGUACGGGCGGGCUUGAGUGCGGUAGGGGAGACUGGAAUUCCCGGUGUAACGGUGGAAUGUGUAGAUAUCGGGAAGAACACC
RNAcentral lists this ribosomal RNA (551 nucleotides) under Bifidobacterium longum subsp. suillum. Its description in RNAcentral is "bacterial SSU rRNA". It matches the Rfam family "Bacterial small subunit ribosomal RNA", at positions 144 to 710 of the family's 1533-position model. The record is from RNAcentral. Lineage: Bacteria; Bacillati; Actinomycetota; Actinomycetes; Bifidobacteriales; Bifidobacteriaceae.